This 446-nucleotide ribosomal RNA is filed under the name uncultured prokaryote. Its description in RNAcentral is "bacterial SSU rRNA". It matches the Rfam family "Bacterial small subunit ribosomal RNA", at positions 355 to 796 of the family's 1533-position model. The record is from RNAcentral.
UCGAGAAUCUUCCGCAAUGGACGCAAGUCUGACGGAGCGACGCCGCGUGCGGGAUGAAGGCCUUCGGGUUGUAAACCGCUGUCAGUGGGGUGGAAAUCACAUGAGGCUAUCCUCAUGAGUUGACCUAACCGCAGAGGAAGUCCGGGCUAAGUACGUGCCAGCAGCCGCGGUAAUACGUACCGGACGAACGUUAUUCGGAAUCACUGGGCUUAAAGAGUGCGUAGGCGGCUUUACAGGUGGGGUGUGAAAUCCCACGGCUCAACCGUGGAACUGCGCUCCAAACCGUAGGGCUUGAGGGAGACAGGGGUGAGCGGAACUGAUGGUGGAGCGGUGAAAUGCGUUGAUAUCAUCAGGAACACCGGUGGCGAAGGCGGCUCACUGGGUCUCUUCUGACGCUGAGGCACGAAAGCUAGGGUAGCGAACGGGAUUAGAUACCCCCGUAGUCC